AUUGAACGCUGGCGGCAGGCUUAACACAUGCAAGUCGAACGAUGAAGGUCUAGCUUGCUAGACUGGAUUAGUGGCGGACGGGUGAGUAACACUUAGGAAUCUACCUUUUAGCGGGGGAUAGCUCGGGGAAACUCGAAUUAAUACCGCAUAAUUUCUACGGAAUAAAGAGGGCUUUUAGCUCUCACUAGAAGAUGAGCCUAAGUAAGAUUAGCUAGUUGGUGGGGUAAAGGCCUACCAAGGCGACGAUCUUUAGCUGGUCUGAGAGGAUGAUCAGCCACACUGGGACUGAGACACGGCCCAGACUCCUACGGGAGGCAGCAGUGGGGAAUAUUGGACAAUGGGGGCAACCCUGAUCCAGCCAUGCCGCGUGUGUGAAGAAGGCCUUUUGGUUGUAAAGCACUUUAAGCAGUGAAGAAGACCUAUUGGUUAAUACCCAAUAGCAAUGACAUUAACUGCAGAAUAAGCACCGGCUAACUCUGUGCCAGCAGCCGCGGUAAUACAGAGGGUGCAAGCGUUAAUCGGAAUUACUGGGCGUAAAGCGAGCGUAGGUGGUUAAAUAAGUCAGAUGUGAAAGCCCUGGGCUCAACCUAGGAACGGCAUCCGAAACUAUUUAACUAGAGUAGGUGAGAGGGAAGUAGAAUUUCAGGUGUAGCGGUGAAAUGCGUAGAGAUCUGAAGGAAUACCGAUGGCGAAGGCAGCUUCCUGGCAUCAUACUGACACUGAGGCUCGAAAGCGUGGGUAGCAAACAGG
This 750-nucleotide ribosomal RNA is filed under the name uncultured bacterium. RNAcentral describes it as "bacterial SSU rRNA". It matches the Rfam family "Bacterial small subunit ribosomal RNA", at positions 28 to 776 of the family's 1533-position model. The record is from RNAcentral.